Long non-coding RNA from Poecilia reticulata (guppy), 524 nucleotides. RefSeq lists it as uncharacterized. Lineage: Eukaryota; Metazoa; Chordata; Actinopteri; Cyprinodontiformes; Poeciliidae. The record is from RefSeq and is a predicted model, not a curated record.
UGUCAGGCUGAUGAGCCCGCAGUGAUCCCUGUCCAACAUGUCAACCUGCUGACGUCAGCAGCAAGCCGCGGCGGGGCUGUCCGUGCAGAUGCCUGAUUGGGUUCGCCGUAACUUCAUCAUAUUUUGAUUUCCUGGAUGUUACGGCCCGAUUCUGAUGAUAACGGGCUUCUCUGUCAGCAGUCAGCAUAAAAUGCUCCGCAGCGUCUGGCGUUCCCUCCCAGUUAUCGACCAGUGGAUCUGAUCACAGCGGCGAGGCUGGAGGGCCGACGGCGGCCUCGUGACGCGCAGGGCGCCGCUCGCCGUCAGCUGGAGGUUAAACCGACUGGAGAUCCAGGCAUGAUGGGGAAAUGAUGGAGAUGCUUUAUCUUUUUCUGGUGUAAAAUCAAAGGUUUUCUAGCCAUUUGGAAGUUAUAGAUUGAAAGAGGUUUGUUAAAAAUCAACUAAUUAAUUUCAGUGCCUGAGAAGUUCAAUAUAUUAUGAGAGAGCAGGAAGAAAAGGAUGAGAAAAAAAUUACUUGGAAAUUU